GGGUUGUGAGGUUAAGCGACUAAGCGUACACGGUGGAUGCCCUGGCAGUCAGAGGCGAUGAAGGGCGUACUAAUCUGCGAUAAGCGCCGGUAAGGUGAUAUGAACCGUUAUAACCGGCGAUACCCGAAUGGGGAAACCCAGUGUGAUUCGUCACACUAUCAUUAACUGAAUCCAUAGGUUAAUGAGGCGAACCGGGGGAACUGAAACAUCUAAGUACCCCGAGGAAAAGAAAUCAACCGAGAUUCCCCCAGUAGCGGCGAGCGAACGGGGAGGAGCCCAGAGCCUGAAUCAGCAUGUGUGUUAGUGGAAGCGUCUGGAAAGGCGCGCGAUACAGGGUGACAGCCCCGUACACAAAAGCGCAUGUGCUGUGAGCUCGAUGAGUAGGGCGGGACACGUGGUAUCCUGUCUGAAUAUGGGGGGACCAUCCUCCAAGGCUAAAUACUCCUGACUGACCGAUAGUGAACCAGUACCGUGAGGGAAAGGCGAAAAGAACCCCGGCGAGGGGAGUGAAAAAGAACCUGAAACCGUGUACGUACAAGCAGUGGGAGNNNNNNNNNNNNNNNNNNNNNGCGUACCUUUUGUAUAAUGGGUCAGCGACUUAUAUUCUGUAGCAAGGUUAACCGAAUAGGGGAGCCGGAGGGAAACCGAGUCUUAAUUGGGCGUUAAGUUGCAGGGUAUAGACCCGAAACCCGGUGAUCUAGCCAUGGGCAGGUUGAAGGUUGGGUAACACUAACUGGAGGACCGAACCGACUAAUGUUGAAAAAUUAGCGGAUGACCUGUGGCUGGGGGUGAAAGGCCAAUCAAACCGGGAGAUAGCUGGUUCUCCCCGAAAGCUAUUUAGGUAGCGCCUCGUGAAUUCAUCUCCGGGGGUAGAGCACUGUUUCGGCUAGGGGGCCAUCCCGGCUUACCAACCCGAUGCAAACUGCGAAUACCGGAGAAUGUUAUCACGGGAGACACACGGCGGGUGCUAACGUCCGUCGUGAAGAGGGAAACAACCCAGACCGCCAGCUAAGGUCCCAAAGUCAUGGUUAAGUGGGAAACGAUGUGGGAAGGCCCAGACAGCCAGGAUGUUGGCUUAGAAGCAGCCAUCAUUUAAAGAAAGCGUAAUAGCUCACUGGUCGAGUCGGCCUGCGCGGAAGAUGUAACGGGGCUAAACCAUGCACCGAAGCUGCGGCAGCGACACUGUGUGUUGUUGGGUAGGGGAGCGUUCUGUAAGCCUGCGAAGGUGGCCUGUGAGGGUUGCUGGAGGUAUCAGAAGUGCGAAUGCUGACAUAAGUAACGAUAAAGCGGGUGAAAAGCCCGCUCGCCGGAAGACCAAGGGUUCCUGUCCAACGUUAAUCGGGGCAGGGUGAGUCGACCCCUAAGGCGAGGCCGAAAGGCGUAGUCGAUGGGAAACGGGUUAAUAUUCCCGUACUUGGUGUUACUGCGAAGGGGGGACGGAGAAGGCUAUGUUGGCCGGGCGACGGUUGUCCCGGUUUAAGCGUGUAGGUGUGUGUUCCAGGUAAAUCCGGUUCACUUUAACACUGAGGCGUGACGACGAGGCACUACGGUGCUGAAGCAACAAAUGCCCUGCUUCCAGGAAAAGCCUCUAAGCAUCAGGUAACAUCAAAUCGUACCCCAAACCGACACAGGUGGUCAGGUAGAGAAUACCAAGGCGCUUGAGAGAACUCGGGUGAAGGAACUAGGCAAAAUGGUGCCGUAACUUCGGGAGAAGGCACGCUGACACGUAGGUGAAGUGAUUUACUCAUGGAGCUGAAGUCAGUCGAAGAUACCAGCUGGCUGCAACUGUUUAUUAAAAACACAGCACUGUGCAAACACGAAAGUGGACGUAUACGGUGUGACGCCUGCCCGGUGCCGGAAGGUUAAUUGAUGGGGUCAGCGCAAGCGAAGCUCCUGAUCGAAGCCCCGGUAAACGGCGGCCGUAACUAUAACGGUCCUAAGGUAGCGAAAUUCCUUGUCGGGUAAGUUCCGACCUGCACGAAUGGCGUAAUGAUGGCCAGGCUGUCUCCACCCGAGACUCAGUGAAAUUGAACUCGCUGUGAAGAUGCAGUGUACCCGCGGCAAGACGGAAAGACCCCGUGAACCUUUACUAUAGCUUGACACUGAACAUUGAGCCUUGAUGUGUAGGAUAGGUGGGAGGCUUUGAAGUGUGGACGCCAGUCUGCAUGGAGCCGACCUUGAAAUACCACCCUUUAAUGUUUGAUGUUCUAACGUGGACCCGUUACCCGGGUUGCGGACAGUGUCUGGUGGGUAGUUUGACUGGGGCGGUCUCCUCCUAAAGAGUAACGGAGGAGCACGAAGGUUGGCUAAUCCUGGUCGGACAUCAGGAGGUUAGUGCAAUGGCAUAAGCCAGCUUGACUGCGAGCGUGACGGCGCGAGCAGGUGCGAAAGCAGGUCAUAGUGAUCCGGUGGUUCUGAAUGGAAGGGCCAUCGCUCAACGGAUAAAAGGUACUCCGGGGAUAACAGGCUGAUACCGCCCAAGAGUUCAUAUCGACGGCGGUGUUUGGCACCUCGAUGUCGGCUCAUCACAUCCUGGGGCUGAAGUAGGUCCCAAGGGUAUGGCUGUUCGCCAUUUAAAGUGGUACGCGAGCUGGGUUUAGAACGUCGUGAGACAGUUCGGUCCCUAUCUGCCGUGGGCGCUGGAGAACUGAGGGGGGCUGCUCCUAGUACGAGAGGACCGGAGUGGACGCAUCACUGGUGUUCGGGUUGUCAUGCCAAUGGCACUGCCCGGUAGCUAAAUGCGGAAGAGAUAAGUGCUGAAAGCAUCUAAGCACGAAACUUGCCCCGAGAUGAGUUCUCCCUGAGACUUAAAGUCUCCUGAAGGAACGUUGAAGACGACGACGUUGAUAGGCCGGGUGUGUAAGCGCAGCGAUGCGUUGAGCUAACCGGUACUAAUGAACCGUGAGGCUUAACCUUACAACGCCGAAG
RNAcentral lists this ribosomal RNA (2928 nucleotides) under Salmonella enterica subsp. enterica serovar Enteritidis str. EC20121969. Its description in RNAcentral is "bacterial LSU rRNA". It matches the Rfam family "Bacterial large subunit ribosomal RNA". The record is from RNAcentral. Lineage: Bacteria; Pseudomonadati; Pseudomonadota; Gammaproteobacteria; Enterobacterales; Enterobacteriaceae.